UAUCCUUAACUUUACUCUUUGCUUUAUAAUAUCCCAAAUUACUUAGAAGAAAAAAAAGCCUUUCUGAGUUCUGACCUUAGUAAAACCAAAAACACAAAAACUCAUAUCUUUUAUUUCUUCAUUCUUCAAUUUAAUCGACGAGUUUUCGUUUCAUCAUUUCUUAAUUAAUUUCAUCUUUCUUCAAAUCUUCAUUCCUAGCAAUCACAGCUUCAAAGUUUUUUUCCCUUUUUUUAUUCUAGCUUAUAAUUUCUUCACCUUCAUCUUUAAAAUAUCUCCGAUGGAGGAUCGAUAAACCCUAAAAAAAUUAGGCACCUUAUGGUUCGAUUUGAAGUCAAAUCAAACCUGAAGAUGGCUAUGUGAUCAUUUUUAUUUCGCUUUCUCUUGCAUCACGAGGUGGAUUUGACAAAGCGCAUGCUGCGGCUAGGCAUAUGAUCAAGUUGAAUCAAGUUUCACGUUGAUGCAGAUAUCAAUUUCAACGUCAACAAUUAUGACGAAGAUAUGAAGCGCCUCAAUUUCAAUUAUUAUUCUGAAGAUGAGUAACUUCACAAAGGAAGAGUUUGUUCAUAUUCUGCGUCAACAGAGCACUGGUUUUUCAAGGGGAAGCUCCAAAUACAGGGGAGUUACUUUACAUAAAUGUGGGAAAGACAACUAACUUGCUUUUGCUGGCUAGAGGAAAAAACCGUAAGUUGUGGAGUUACUAAUGCUAAUAGUAUUGAUGAGCUCAACAUUAUAUAGAAGACCUACAUCUCAGGACCAUGGAGGAGCUUGGAGUGGACAAAACUGUUAUUGCAAGUGAGCUACCUUUAAAAUUAUUUUUGGUUACAGUUGGUAGUGAUUGUUUUGUAUUCAACCUUCUUAUAACUUGGACUCAAUUGGAAAGUUAUGGCUAUGCCUUUGUGUGUUGCUCCAAUAGGCUUAGGAUGUUGAACAUGUGUUUGAAUAAAUUAGUAGAAGAAAUUUGAACCUUUUGAGGCCUCAGAUCUCUGCUAUGGCAAGUUCUCAUUUAUCAACAGCUGCUGAGCUAUUUUCAAGACAACGUAAUCCCCCGGUAUGCUCAACCUUAGUUUGGAUUCCUGAAAAUUUUGACUUGAUGGUUAUCUGUUAACUCACUCAAUAGUUUGAAAAAAAAGUUUAUUGUUGAAUAUGUUUUUGCUCAGAGAGACUGAUUUAGAGUUUUUUGUGUUUUUGUAGUCGUCUCCAUUUGAUUCAAGUCUUUUCAUUGAACUUGUUAGGAAAAAUUGACCAAAUUGAUAUGAACAAAAAAAAUGUAACUUUUUGGCUUACUUAUUCUACCGUGAAUUGGCAACAAGAUGAGAUCUGAUACUUGGUUUGUUACUUUGCAUAACCAUGAAGUUACAUGCUUUUGUUCUUUUUGUUCAUACAUUUGUAACAUAUAAGGAAUAAUCGCAUUUGCUGUAGAUUUUGAUAGUGUGUCCCGAGAAAGUUGAGAUCUGAACUCGAGAAUCAGUCACAAUUAGAUCAUGCAUAAUUCAGUAUAUGCUAUUAGCAUUAAGAUAAGUAAUCUGCUUUUCAUGAGUUUCCCAUUUACCUCUUAUCUCCCAUUUUUGUCUGAUUGUAUUGUAUCAGAGGGUUCCAAAUCUAAUUGGGGGCAGUUUUGUCGACUCAAAAUCGUUGACUUUCAUUGAUUUCAUAAACUCUGUAAGUGUAUUUUUUUUGGUUGUAUAUUGAGCAUUAAGCUGUCUCUUUUUUUUGCUGUUUUGAGAAGGCAAACUUCUAAUAUUGAUAUCAUUUGAUAACAGGCAACACAAGGAGUUGUUUCACAAGUUCCUUUUUAUUCUUGAAAGCCCAUUAAGGCUUAUUGAACGUUUUUUUAUUCUUUCGUUUGAGUCUGAUUUAGAAUUUGAAUAAUUGUCAAUAAAUGCUCAUUAAGUCUGAUUGAUAACUUCCUUUCCAGGUGGCUGAAAUGUAAGUUCAAAAGUAAUAUUUUUCUUUCAGCAUUGAAUAACUAGUGGAAGACAAACCUUGUGGGGAAUAAAACUUUCUCAAUACUUUAUCAUGUGAAAAUAAACAAGAAGACCAAGUCUUUUCUUUGUUCUCUUAAUCUAUGAAUUUAGUUCCUAUGGCCAUUCAUUUUCUCUUCAGUCUUAACCAACUUCCUUUGGUAUUGCAUUUGAAUUUAAAUUAAAUGAAUAAGUGACUCAACUUGUGGAUAUUAGACACAUCACACAAAGAUGUUACCAACCACCACAUGAUGUGCCCCUGCUUCAUUUUCGACCAAUGUAUAUGUCCUUCUUCCCUAGAUAUAAUAUUUCUAACCUCUUAUAUAUUUUGUAUUAAACAAAUUAAGGAAUUAAUAUAUUCUCCUUUUGAUGCAGAGCUAAUGUUAUUUCGUUCUUGGUUUUCUUGGCUCCAAUACAAGUAUUUAUAUCUAUCAAUCAACUCUUGUUACUUCCACUUAAUUGAUGAGGUUCAAAAAAAGAAAUAGAGAUUCCCAGAUUUUAGUUAAUAUUAAUUAUUAAUAAAAAUAUAUAUUUUACCUUCCUUGAAUAUUGCCGAUCAACAAUUUACUGAAUAUACAAGAAGAAAUCGAUAGGGGGUUUUAAUCACUGCCUUAAGUGGUGGCACUGUUCAGUUCCAUGCUUUGGUUAUACUAUGCUUUACUCAAAAAAGACGUUCUCCUCAUUACCAUUAACUCAUUUAGAUGUAUGGUAGAGAUCAUUUACAUCAUCUUCUGUGAGUGUCUUUGCAGCCCCACUUAGCAUUGUGGUACGUGAAAACCCCUAGUCAUUGUGCUAAAAAAUGAGGACCUUUUUAUGUCUUGGCAUUAGAGCAGUCUUUGGAUUCAGGAAAAUCUAUUGCCUUUUCUGAUGGUCUUGUUAUUAAUGGCUAGGCUCAUAUUACCUUAAAUGGUGACUAGGGUUAGUCCUAUUAAAAGGAUAUAGCUCAAUUAUUUGUAAAUUUUAAGUGAUCCAUUUUUAGUUAAAAUAAUCUUUAGUGUUUGUAAAUUCAAGUCUUAUCAAUGUUAGAUUACUUCA
Long non-coding RNA from Gastrolobium bilobum, 2996 nucleotides. RefSeq lists it as uncharacterized. The transcript is spliced from 7 exons. The record is from RefSeq and is a predicted model, not a curated record. NCBI's taxonomy places the organism in Eukaryota, Viridiplantae, Streptophyta, Magnoliopsida, Fabales, Fabaceae.